AGCGAACGCUGGCGGCAGGCCUAACACAUGCAGGUCGAACGAACCUUUCGGGGUUUUUGGCCGUCGGGUGUGUAACCCGUGGGAACGUUCCUUUAGGUUUGGCCUACCUCAGGGAAACUUGUGCUUUUACCGAAUGUGCCCUUCUGGGGAAAGAUUUUUCGCCGUUAGUGCGGCCCGCGUCUGAUUAGCCAGUUGUUUGACUUAAUGGCUCACCAAGGCGAUGUUCAGUAGCUGGUCUGGGAGGAAGAUCAGACACAUUGAGACUGAGACACGGCACAAAAUCCUACGGGAGGCAGCAGUGGGGAAUCUUGCGAAAUGGGGGAAAGCAUGACGCAGCCAUGACGGGAGAAUGAUGAAGGUAUUAGGAUUGUAAAAUGCUUUCAACGGGGAAGAUAAUGACGGUACCCGAAGAAGAAGCCCCGGCUAACUUCGUG
RNAcentral lists this ribosomal RNA (434 nucleotides) under uncultured bacterium. RNAcentral describes it as "partial 16S ribosomal RNA". It matches the Rfam family "Bacterial small subunit ribosomal RNA", at positions 29 to 507 of the family's 1533-position model. The record is from RNAcentral.